This 70-nucleotide transfer RNA is filed under the name Camelus bactrianus (Bactrian camel). It matches the Rfam family "tRNA". Rfam says of the family: Transfer RNA (tRNA) molecules are approximately 80 nucleotides in length. Their secondary structure includes four short double-helical elements and three loops (D, anti-codon, and T loops). Lineage: Eukaryota; Metazoa; Chordata; Mammalia; Artiodactyla; Camelidae. RNAcentral also lists the same sequence under 2 other names. The record is from Rfam by way of RNAcentral.
GAGGGUACAGCUCAGCAGGAGUGCAUGCUUAGCAUGCACGAGGUCCUGGGUUCAAGUCCCAGUACCUCCA